GAUGAAGAACGUAGCGAAAUGAGAUAAGUAAUGUGAAUUGCAGAAUUCAGUGAAUCAUCGAAUCUUUGAACGCACAUUGCGCCCGCCAGUAUUCUGGCGGGCAUGCCUGUUCGAGCGUCAUUACAACCCUCAGGCCCCCGGGCCUGGCGUUGGGGAUCGGCGGAGCCCCCCGUGGGCACACGCCGUCCCCCAAAUACAGUGGCGGUCCCGCCGCAGCUUCCAUCGCGUAGUAGCUAACACCUCGCGACUGGAGAGCGGCGCGGCCACGCCGUAAAACACCCAACUCUUCUGAAGUUGACCUCGAAUCAGGCAGGAAUACCCGCUGAACUUAAGCAUAUCAAUAAGCGGAGGA
RNAcentral lists this unclassified non-coding RNA (352 nucleotides) under soil metagenome. RNAcentral's name for it is "partial contains 5.8S ribosomal RNA, internal transcribed spacer 2, and large subunit ribosomal RNA". The stretch from base 1 to 120 matches the Rfam family "5.8S ribosomal RNA", at positions 35 to 154 of the family's 154-position model. The record is from RNAcentral.